CGGAGGGUGCGAGCGUUAUCCGGAAUUACUGGGUUUAAAGGGUGCGUAGGCGGCCAUGUAAGUCAGGAGUGAAAGUUUGCGGCUCAACCGUAAAAUUGCUUUUGAUACUGCAUGGCUGGAAUCAGGAUGAGGUCAGCGGAAUGUGGCAUGUAGCGGUGAAAUGCGUAGAUAUGCCAUAGAACACCAAUUGCGAAGGCAGCUGGCUAGACCUGUAUUGACGCUGAGGCACGAAAGCGUGGGGAGCGAACAGGAUUAGAUACCCUGGUAGUCCACGCCCUAAACGAUGCUUACUCGACGUAUGGCACUAGUUGUUGUGCGUCCAAGGGAAACCGUUAAGUAAGCCACCUGGGGAGUACGACCGCAAGGUUG
Molecule: ribosomal RNA, 369 nt
Filed under: uncultured organism
Description: bacterial SSU rRNA
Rfam family: Bacterial small subunit ribosomal RNA
Source: RNAcentral